ACGUAGGGCGCAAGCGUUGUCCGGAAUUAUUGGGCGUAAAGAGCUCGUAGGCGGUUUGUCGCGUCUGCUGUGAAAGCCCGGGGCUCAACCCCGGGUCUGCAGUGGGUACGGGCAGACUAGAGUGCAGUAGGGGAGACUGGAAUUCCUGGCGUAGGCGGUGAAAUGGCGACAGAGUAUCAGGAGGAA
Molecule: ribosomal RNA, 186 nt
Filed under: uncultured bacterium
Lineage: Bacteria
Description: partial 16S ribosomal RNA
Rfam family: Bacterial small subunit ribosomal RNA
Source: RNAcentral